UGGCGGCAGGCCUAACACAUGCAAGUCGAGGGGCAGCGGGGAUAAGCUUGCUUAUCUGCCGGCGACCGGCGCACGGGUGCGUAACGCGUAUAGAAUCUGCCUUGUACUAGGGAAUAGCCCAGAGAAAUUUGGAUUAAUGCCCUAUAGUAUAUCGUUAUGGCAUCAUAAUGAUAUUAAAGGUUACGGUACAAGAUGACUAUGCGUCCCAUUAGUUAGUUGGUGAGGUAACGGCUCACCAAGACUGCGAUGGGUAGGGGCCCUGAGAGGGGGAUCCCCCACACUGGUACUGAGACACGGACCAGACUCCUACGGGAGGCAGCAGUGAGGAAUAUUGGACAAUGGGCGGGAGCCUGAUCCAGCCAUGCCGCGUGCAGGAAGACGGUCCUAUGGAUUGUAAACUGCUUUUAUACGGGAAGAACAAGGGGCACGUGUGCCCUUCUGACGGUACCGUAAGAAUAAGGAUCGGCUAACUCCGUGCCAGCAGCCGCGGUAAUACGGAGGAUCCAAGCGUUAUCCGGAAUCAUUGGGUUUAAAGGGUCCGUAGGCGGGCCAUUAAGUCAGGGGUGAAAGUUUGCGGCUCAACCGUAAAAUUGCCCUUGAUACUGGUGGUCUUGAGUUAUAGUGAAGUGGCUAGAAUAUGUAGUGUAGCGGUGAAAUGCAUAGAUAUUACAUAGAAUACCGAUUGCGAAGGCAGGUCACUAACUAUACACUGACGCUGAUGGACGAAAGCGUGGGGAGCGAACAGGAUUAGAUACCCUGGUAGUCCACGCCGUAAACGAUGGAUACUAGCUGUUCGGGCGCAAGCCUGAGCGGCCAAGCGAAAGUGAUAAGUAUCCCACCUGGGGAGUACGUUCGCAAGAAUGAAACUCAAAGGAAUUGACGGGGGCCCGCACAAGCGGUGGAGCAUGUGGUUUAAUUCGAUGAUACGCGAGGAACCUUACCAGGGCUUAAAUGUAG
RNAcentral lists this ribosomal RNA (957 nucleotides) under Arenibacter nanhaiticus. RNAcentral describes it as "bacterial SSU rRNA". It matches the Rfam family "Bacterial small subunit ribosomal RNA", at positions 37 to 990 of the family's 1533-position model. The record is from RNAcentral. Lineage: Bacteria; Pseudomonadati; Bacteroidota; Flavobacteriia; Flavobacteriales; Flavobacteriaceae.